GAUGGUGUUCAUGUCUCAAAAUUAAGCUAAAGAACACCAAUAAUGUUUCUACCUAGAAAUAAGAUGAGAAAGUAACAGCUUAAUGAUCGAAAAGCUUAACUGAAAGCUAUACACGUUCUCUCCUAGCAAGUAUAUACAUGUAAUUAAUGGUCAAAUCUGCCAUUGUUCAGAUAUAACAUAUAUGCAGCUAUAUAUACAUGUUUUCUCAAGGCAUUUAUACAUGUAUUGGUCAAAUAAAUAAUAUGUUAUUCAGAGAGUAAAUAUUAAGUGUAACCUUGUAGCCAUCUUUGAGUUGCUCACCAUUAGCAAGGAAAGUGGAAGGUCUUUUUGCUUAGAGUUUGGCCAGUAGCAGUGGAGGAACUUCUUCUGUUGAAUAUCUGCUAUGUCUGAAUGGGGGCUGAUAUGCCUGUCCUAUAAGAUAAUCUCCUUGUACGGGACACAACCCUUAUAGAUAAUCUCCAUGUACAGUCCUAUAGAUGGAACAAAUUCGGCAGAAUAUAAGUGAAAGCAGUUUAAUGUAGACGGGAACUUCAUGUUGCUUUUUCUUCCGCCUGCAAUAAAACAAAUUAACAGAAUCAAAACGAAUUUAAUGCACACACGUGAAGAUGCAUAUCUAUAUUUUCUUCUCUUGUUCUUUAAAAUCAGAUAGCCAUAUAUUUCUUUAGAAUCAGACUAAACUCUAUGUACUAUUACACGCAAGUCCAGGGCAAUGGAAAACAUAGACCUGAUGCGCUGCAGAAACACUUUGACAUCCUCCUUCAUGAUUUUGAACACAUAGACCUGGUCUUUGUUUUCAGAAAUGAGCUGCUAGACAGGUGACCAAUCUCUAGUUGUCUAUAGCCCAACCUGAUGAAAAACGAGAAAACAAAUUAGAUGAUCUCAAACGAACGGACCCAUUGCAACAUCUAACUGCACUACCUUGCCAUGGAGGCCGGCGCAUGUACCUGUUUCUAGCAGGUCGGCACAAAAGAAGAUCAUGGAUGGCCGCCGCUGCUGCUACGCAAACAACAUGUGGUCAUCGUGGUAGAUGUUGGAGGGGGCCAAUGGAUAGAGAGGACCAGGACGUCGUGCUUGAGUGAUUCGACGGGAGGAAGGCGUGGUAAUCGUCGUGCUGGUUGUCCUCCAUGCCCUCGCCCUCCGACGAGUAGUGAAUGCCCGUCUCCCUCCACCGCCACCUCCACCUCCAUCUCCUUAUAUGUAUGCCGACGACUUCCCCGACCUACGGCUCGCCAUCGGAUCCUCGGGUAUUGCAGGGAACCUCCAGCACCCACCAACGCAUACAUAUUCCUCCUACAAUGUGCCCGUGUAUUGCAAUGGGAAAAACAAUCGUAAAACAAUUCAUGGAUGGGCAGUGGACAUGAUGAACUUGUACUACUUGCGCUGCAUCAUCAAUCAAUUUGCACUAUCAUUAAAAAAGUGUCACAACCUUUGGCAUCAGCAGCGGCGUAGCAUUAAUCAUUCUUGCCGAAAUCAUGGAAUUUGAAAUGGAUUUGAUUUCCACAACAUGAAAUUAAAAUUCAACUGAAGAGAGUUAUGUUUUCUUGGUGUAUACAUUUCAGCUGUGUCCCCAUAAUCAAAAUAUACUACAAACUUUCAGUCAAAUAACAUUGUUUCAUUGUUUAAAUAAAACCAUUUCAAAGUUGUGCCUCUCUGUGGGUUCUGAGCCAUGCUCUUACGUAUUUUUGUGCAACUACGCGAUGAUAGUAGAAAAUGAAAAACAUGCCAAACUUGGGUCAGAAGAGUGCAAGAAGGCACCUGCCAAUAGCAGUGGACCAUUUACUGUCGAUGAAAUCUGGAGCGGGUACACUUAACACAGUCUGCAUUGCAGACUUCCCUCAUCAAAUCCAUUUCAACUCCUGAAGUGAUAACCAGAAAUAUUAAUAUAAAUAAUUAAAAUGCGGACAGAGGACAUAUUAUGCGUCAAUCAUGAACAGUUUGUUGCCAGAAGAUCAUGUAUUGUUGUACUCAAGGCAUGCUAGGUCUCCCAUUGAAGAAUGUAGCUAUCAAUUGCCACUGAGAACUACAAGUAUCCUGUAGUUGUGCAUGGUAAGCUUCUUGAAAAGAAUAACUCAAUGCAAGCUUGUUACUGAGAUGGAUUAUGCAAAACUCACCUCUAUCCAUGUUAUGUGAGAGAAAUUCUAGCAUAACUUGUGUUACUUCCGCUGCAUCAUCAAUGAAUUUGCACUAUCCUAAGAAAUUAUAUGUAUCACAGUCUUUGGCAUGAACCACGCUGAACUACAAUGCUCUUAUCCUCUCUACUCUCUGUUUAAUACUUAUCUCUUUUUUCUUAUCUAAAUUGAAAAAUAAAUGUCACCAUGGUGAUAAACAUUUAUGCUAGAGCCACAAAAUUUAAUACCUAUAUCUUUCUGUCUAUCUACAAUGCAAUAUUACGAAAGGCAUAACUUCAAAAAUUAAACAACGAUAAUUCAGUAAACACAUCAUUUGUCUAAAUAUAAUGAUGUUCAAAGUUAAAAUAUAGGGACGAAAGUCCUGCCUGAAGAACCGUCAUCACAAGUUCAGCAAACAUACCACACACUAUAACUUUCUGAAAAUAUACAGUCUCUAGCCCAUUAAGCAUAUUUUAACAGAAAGUAAUGGAAGCACUAACAAAACUAAUUAAAAAAAGGUAAGAUUGGGAUCGAAAGGGUGUAGCUUACGAAGAUCAUUCCUUUUUCUUGACUACAGUGUGGUCCUAAACUUCUGAUCAUCACGGCUGCAGUACAGACAACAGAGAAGAUUAGACUUGAUUAGAUUUUGAACUGAUUUUCAGUAAUCUUCCUGUGUCGUAGGGUACCAUGUUCCCUUGAAACUAAUAUCAACAAAAUAAUUUUCUUACUCAGUCUUGAGGAACAUAAUAAAGAUACACAUAGGGAAUUAAUAUAGAGUAAUCCAAAAGAAGAACUAAUCAAUUGAAAGGUAUCCAGAUCGUAUGAGGAAUGAAACAACACCUUCAUUAACAUGUCAUACCAGGAUGAACCAAGCUAACAAUAGUCAAAUAAAUAGAGGAGCAGGCAUACCCGAACUCCACUGCGGAAAGAGUGGUUGAUUACUUUUCAUGCUUAUUCCCCAAUAGGUAUUUUUAUCAGAUGGAUCAAAUGAACUCUAUCCAUAACCCGCCAUUCUUGGUAUGGUUUGUGGCACAGGAUGGUGGCGUCGCACUCCUGCAAUUGACAUGUGGUUAAAGUAUGACCAGCAGCUACAUUCACCUCAACAUAACUCAGAAGAAAAAUUCCCACAAAAUAAAAUUCAAAAGGCAGGUAAUAAUUGAUAGAAACCUAGAUCAAACAGAGUAAGAAAUACCUUAGAUUAAGCAUUCAUAAUUUGAUUUUGCAGUAAAAAUCAUAAUUUGGUCAGAAAAUAAAAUACCUAAGACUCUGCUGUAUGGGAUUUAAUAAUAUGGCAUGCAUUGUAUCCUAAAUUCAGCACCAAAGGAUAUGUUCUUAGAUUUUAAAUCACCACAAUCAUGUGAAAAGAAAUAAUCAUCGCUAUCUAUUUUCAUUAGGCAUUACCCCAAACACAAGGUGAGCAAGUCCAACAGGUAGAUGGAGGGAUGGCUGGAAUGGGGCAGAGGAGAAAAGGGCAUGUUGCAAAAGUUUGUUCUGUCGGGCGGGGAGGAGCAAUGCUUGCAGCUAGCUAUCUAUUUUAUACUCGAUAUGUCAUUGACAACCAAGUGAAGCUGCUGCAACUUGUAAGGUGCACGCAUGGUGGGUGUCUUGCCAUGGUUGCAGCAAUGCUAAUCUUUCCCUAUGUCGCGGUCCAUACUGGGGAAACAAAUAACCUGCAUACUAAUUGUGAACAUACUCAGAAAAUGCAUGCAAGGACUGAAUAUAUGGAAGUAAAAAAUUGUCGACCUUGCGCCACUGCUACUGCAUCAUUGCAACAAUAAGAAUUUACACCCACAUCUUGUAGAAAGAAAUCUGCACACAACAUUAGCUACCAAAAUUAAGUACCUUUAGCGGUCAUCUCUCACAUAGAAUUUUAUCCCGUUUUCAGCUUUUCUGCACAAUCAU
RNAcentral lists this long non-coding RNA (4010 nucleotides) under Triticum aestivum (bread wheat). RNAcentral's name for it is "long non-coding RNA (TAES_LNC009132)". The record is from RNAcentral. Lineage: Eukaryota; Viridiplantae; Streptophyta; Magnoliopsida; Poales; Poaceae.